This 407-nucleotide ribosomal RNA is filed under the name Chernokrilus misnomus. RNAcentral describes it as "partial 12S ribosomal RNA". The stretch from base 51 to 407 matches the Rfam family "Microsporidia small subunit ribosomal RNA", at positions 752 to 1207 of the family's 1311-position model. Lineage: Eukaryota; Metazoa; Arthropoda; Insecta; Plecoptera; Perlodidae. The record is from RNAcentral.
UAAACUACGAUUAGAUACCCUAUUAUUUUAAAUGUAAAGAGUUAAUACUUGAGUAGUAAGAGAUAUGGUCUUGAAACUCAAAGAAUUUGGCGGUGUUUUAGUCUUUCCAGAGGAACCUGUCCCGUCAUCGAUAUUCCACGUUAUACCUUACUUAGUCUUUAUGAAUAUGUAUAUCGCCGUCGUCAGAGCAUCCUAGAAGGGUUUAUGAAUUCUCUUUAGGUUAUAUUAUAACAAGAGGUCAGGUCAAGGUGCAGUUUAUGAUUAAGUGGAGAUGGGUUACAAUAAAUUUAUUUAUACGGAUGGUUGUUUGAAAUUAGUGACUUGAAGGUGGAUUUGGGAGUAAUUUUAUGUUAUUAAAUUAUUUUGAUUUUGGCUCUAAAAUGUGUACACAUCGCCCGUCGCUCUUA